Homo sapiens (human) is the source of this 148-nucleotide non-coding RNA. It matches the Rfam family "Metazoan signal recognition particle RNA". Rfam says of the family: The signal recognition particle (SRP) is a universally conserved ribonucleoprotein. It is involved in the co-translational targeting of proteins to membranes. The record is from Rfam. Lineage: Eukaryota; Metazoa; Chordata; Mammalia; Primates; Hominidae.
GCUGGGCAUGGUGGCGCAUGCCUGUAGUCCUAGCUACUUGGGAAGCUGAGGCGGGAGGAUCACUAGAGCCCAGGAGGUCGAGACUGCAGUGAGCUGGGAUUGCGCCACUGCACUCCAGCCUGGGCGACAGAGCAAGACCCUGUCUCCA